UACGUAGGGGUGCGAGCGUUUAAUCGGAAUUACUGGGCGUAAAGCGUGCGCAGGCGGCGCGUUUAAGACAGGUGUGAAAGCCCCCGAGCUUAACUUGGGAAUUGCGCUUGUGACUGGCGUGCUGGAGUGUGGCAGAGGGAGGUGGAAUUCCACGGUGUAGCAGUGAAAUGCGUAGAGAUGUGGAGGAACACCGAUGGCGGAAGGGCAGCCUCCUGGGCCAGCACUGA
Molecule: ribosomal RNA, 227 nt
Filed under: uncultured bacterium
Lineage: Bacteria
Description: partial 16S ribosomal RNA
Rfam family: Bacterial small subunit ribosomal RNA
Source: RNAcentral